AAAGAAACUAACAAGGAUUCCCCUAGUAGCGGCGAGCGAAGCGGGAUGAGCUCAAAUUUGAAAUCUGGCGUCUUUCAGGCGUCCGAGUUGUAAUCUAUAGAAGCGUUUUCUGUGCUGGACCAUGUCCAAGUCCCUUGGAACAGGGUAUCAAAGAGGGUGACAAUCCCGUACUUGACAUGACCACCAGUGCUCUGUGAUACGUUUUCGACGAGUCGAGUUGUUUGGGAAUGCAGCUCAAAAUGGGUGGUAAAUUCCAUCUAAAGCUAAAUAUUGGCGAGAGACCGAUAGCGAACAAGUACCGUGAGGGAAAGAUGAAAAGCACUUUGGAAAGAGAGUUAAACAGUACGUGAAAUUGUUGAAAGGGAAACGAUUGAAGUCAGUCGUGUCUAUUGGUUUCAGCCGGUUCUGCCGGUGUAUUACCUUUAGACGGGUCAACAUCAGUUUUGGACGGCACAUAAGGGCAGAUUGAAUGUGGCACCUCCGGGUGUGUUAUAGCUUUCUGCCGCAUAUGCUGUCCGAGACUGAGGACUGCAGCUCGCCUUUUAGGCCGGGGUUCGCCCACGUUCGAGCUUAGGAUGUUGACAUAAUGGCUUUAAACGACCCGUCUUGAAACACGGACCA
Molecule: ribosomal RNA, 621 nt
Filed under: Derxomyces amylogenes
Lineage: Eukaryota; Fungi; Basidiomycota; Tremellomycetes; Tremellales; Bulleribasidiaceae
Description: eukaryotic LSU rRNA
Rfam family: Eukaryotic large subunit ribosomal RNA
Source: RNAcentral